UGGGGAAUUUUGGACAAUGGGCGAAAGCCUGAUCCAGCAAUGCCGCGUGUGUGAAGAAGGCCUUCGGGUUGUAAAGCACUUUUGUCCGGAAAGAGAUCCUUGGCUCUAAUAGCAGUCGGGGGAUGACGGUACCGGAAGAAUAAGCACCGGCUAACUACGUGCCAGCAGCCGCGGUAAUACGUAGGGUGCAAGCGUUAAUCGGAAUUACUGGGCGUAAAGCGUGCGCAGGCGGUUUGCUAAGACCGAUGUGAAAUCCCCGGGCUCAACCUGGGAACUGCAUCGGUGACUGGCAGGCUAGAGUAUGGCAGAGGGGGGUAGAAUUCCACGUGUAGCAGUGAAAUGGCGUAGAGUGUGGAGGAAUACCGAUGCGAAGGCAGCCCCCUGGGCCAAUACUGACGCUCAUGCACGAAAGCGUGGGGAGCAAACAGGAUUAGAUACCCCUGGUAGUCACGCCCUAAACGAUGUCAACUAGUUGUUGGGGGAUUCAAUUUCCCUUAGUAACGNAGCUAACGCGUGAAGUUGA
RNAcentral lists this ribosomal RNA (523 nucleotides) under uncultured bacterium. Its description in RNAcentral is "partial 16S ribosomal RNA". It matches the Rfam family "Bacterial small subunit ribosomal RNA", at positions 355 to 868 of the family's 1533-position model. The record is from RNAcentral.